AUUAAUAAGCGGAGGAAAAGAAACUAACAAGGAUUCCCUCAGUAACGGCGAGUGAAGCGGGAAAAGCCCAGCACCGAAUCCCCCGCUGUAACCGGCGGCGGGAACUGUGGUGUUAAGGACAGCCGAUGGGGAUCGGUCGGGAGUCCGAGUCCUCCUGAUCGUGGCUUCACCCAGAGCGGGUGUCAGGCCUCUACGGCGCCCGGCCGAUUCUCUAAGGUCGUCCUAGGAGUCGGGUUGUUUGAGAAUGCAGCCCAAAGCGGGUGGUAAACUCCAUCUAAGGCUAAAUACAGACACGAGUCCGAUAGCGCACAAGUACCGUGAGGGAAAGUU
Molecule: ribosomal RNA, 330 nt
Filed under: Stercutus niveus
Lineage: Eukaryota; Metazoa; Annelida; Clitellata; Enchytraeida; Enchytraeidae
Description: eukaryotic LSU rRNA
Rfam family: Eukaryotic large subunit ribosomal RNA
Source: RNAcentral